GACGAACGCUGGCGGCGUGCUUAACACAUGCCAGUCGAACGGAAAGGCCUGCUUUCCCUUGUGGAUUGCGGGUACUCGAGUGGCGAACGGGUGAGUAACACGUGAGUGAUCUGCCCCCAACUUGGGUAUAAGCCUGGGAAACUGGGUCUAAUUCCCGAUAGGACUGCAGGGUGGUGCCUGUGGUGGAAAACGAUUUUCUAGUGGUUGGGGAUGAGCUCGCGGCCUAUCAGCUUGGUGGUGGGGUAAUGGCCUACCAAGGCGGCGACGGGUAGGCGGCCUGGGAGGGUGGACGGGGACAUUGGGACUGCGAUACGGCCCAGGCGCCUACGGGCGGCAGCAGUGGGGAAGAUUGGGCAAUGGGCGGAAGCCUGAUGCAGCGACGCCGCGGGGGGGAUGCCGGCCUUGGGAUGGUAGACUCCUUUCGACCGCGAGGAAGCCACCUGGUUGGAAGGGUGGUGACGGUAGUGGUAGAAGAAGCACCGGCUAACUACGUG
This 494-nucleotide ribosomal RNA is filed under the name uncultured bacterium. RNAcentral describes it as "partial 16S ribosomal RNA". It matches the Rfam family "Bacterial small subunit ribosomal RNA", at positions 28 to 507 of the family's 1533-position model. The record is from RNAcentral.